Myiozetetes cayanensis is the source of this 1365-nucleotide long non-coding RNA. RefSeq lists it as uncharacterized. The transcript is spliced from 2 exons. The record is from RefSeq and is a predicted model, not a curated record. NCBI's taxonomy places the organism in Eukaryota, Metazoa, Chordata, Aves, Passeriformes, Tyrannidae.
GUCGUGGUUUUGCCCACCAGCUCAUCCCUGGGGCUGAGGAUGGUUUUGUCCAGGUGAUUUCCGGACAAAAAACCAAUCAAAAAGUUCAGUGACGCCUUUGCUAAUUACAUCUUUAAGAAAACGGAAGAGAAGGUUGUGGCGCAGUUGAAAUUAGGAGCAGCAGCCAUGUAGGAGAGACGCGGUGGGCCCGAGGAGGGCCAAGGCCCCCUCCUCCCCCGGCUUGGGCCGGGGAAGGGGGCAGGUGUAACACUGAAGCCUCCCUUCUCUCUUGUGAGAGAGUGAAGAAAAAAAAAGUUUAAAAGACGAACUGCUUAGACGAGAAACCGCUGCAGAAGAAUUCCAGCCAUGAGAUAACAAGACUUUCAAGGUCAAAGCUGCAGUCGCAGGAGAGAGAAGAAAAGUUCGAAGGGGGAGAGCUGCUUUUUCUCCUUUCGCUCUCCCUCCCUUCAGCAGGGUAAAGACUGAAAAAUAAAACCCUGCCACCUGUAGAAGUUUGCUGGGGUGAAGAGACUCCCAUGCGGCUCACAGAGGAGCUUGUGGAUGCACCAGAGAUUUGUGACUUUAACAGAGAAAGCCUUAUGCUGGAGUAAAAGCGGCUCAGAUGAGGCAGAGUCCUGUUAAAGACUUUGUGACCCUCGAAGGGAUCGAUGCUUAUGCUGGAGCGAGACGGCUCAGAUAAGCUUGGGAUCUCAGUGAGAGAUCCAUGCUGCUGCUGUUGAAGAUUUAUGACCCUGACGGGUAUUAGAACCUACGCUGGAACACAAAACGGUUCAGGUAGGGAUGUUGGGAUCCAUGUGUGGGAUCCGUGCUGCUGGUGCUAGAGAGAACCUACGCUGGAGCAGAAAAUGGCUCAGGUGGGAUAUUGGGAUCCGAGUAAGGGAUCCAGACUGGACCCAUGUCGAGAAGUCAAUCAAGGACUGUUCUCCCAUGGGGAGGGACCUCCAUAGGGAAACAGGGGUGAACUCUUAAACCAUUAUCCCUUGUAACCCUGUGGAAGAAGAUCCAUAGUAAGCAAGUGUCCCCUUGCAAGCCUAUGGAAGGAGACCCUUCAGGACCUGGGUAACCCUCAACCUUCGGUUUUAACCCAGGAGGGGGGUAGGCCCAGCCCUGGAGGCCAACACAGAAUAAGAGAGAGAUAAAGAAGUUCCAACUGCGACGAAAGUGCUGCAGAGUUACUGGAGAGAGAGAGAGCUGGAAUUCUGAGAACAGAAAAAGACUGUUUCUCCUCCUUGGACUGAUAUAAAGGGAGGUGGGGGGAAAAGUAUCUUCUGUAAAUUCAUAAUACCUUUUACUUAAGUAGAAUUGUUGUAGAUAUAAUUCUUUAGUUUUAGUUUGUUAAUAAUAAAUACUCAUACUUUUUUUUCA